Molecule: long non-coding RNA, 1370 nt
Organism: Zophobas morio
Lineage: Eukaryota; Metazoa; Arthropoda; Insecta; Coleoptera; Tenebrionidae
Exons: 3
Source: RefSeq, a predicted model, not a curated record
UUUAAUUGAAGUCAUCUAGCUUUACUCUCAUAGUAAAUUCUUGUAAUAAUCACCUUGAUAGUAAAAAUCAACGUUUGUGGAUUUCAGACUAAUAACCUCAAGAAACGUUUUAAGAAGAGUACGUUCCCUGACCCCGGCGCGAAAUUUAUGUUCCCUAUCGAAAGUAAAAAAUUAUUCAAAAGUGUUUCUUAUCGGAGCAUCGUAUCCUUUUUCAAAAGACCACAGCAGCUUCAGUAUGGACGAUUUCGAUUUAAAACUUAAAGAAGCUUGUGAGCGUGGAGAAUCUGCUAUUACGGAAUUAAUGAAUAUAUUACAGACAUCUAUUAAAGAUGUUACUCAAGCUUAUAAGGAAUCUCUUAAAAAGCAAAUUACUCUUAUCGACGAAGCUACUAAGGAAGGGGCUUCAUCAUCAAAAUGGGACGAUUUACCGCAAUUUCGAACUCAGGCAGCAGAAAUGAGCCAACAGUUUCAGAAACUUGUAGUUACAAUUAACACUUUAGGAGGAAUAGCUAAAAAUGAAACACUAAAGUACAUAACUCAACAGGAAAAGCAGUUUCAGCUUUUGUCAAAAAAACACAAGGAGCUUGAGAAAUUAAUAAUUAAACAGAUGGAAGAAAUAAAAAGCCUAGAAGAGAAAUUAUUGCAGAAAAAUCGCGAAAGUAUUGAAAAGACUAAAUAGCAAUUGUUAAUUACUAAUCUACUUCAUCAUUCCCAUCUUCACAUAAAUCACAGGAGUACUAAAUAAGAAAAGUUAUUGUUAUAAAUUUUCGGACUUAUUUGCCGUAGGGACCUCUAAAAAACCAAAGUUUUAUUAAAUAAUGAAUGCGAUAUAAGCAUACAAAGGGGUAACAAACAAAGGCGUUGUCGUCAAAAGCACCAAAACAGAACAUCUUUCAAAAAUAGUCUUCAUAAUACAAACCAACGAACCAAGCUUAUCAAAAACAUUCAAGUCCGUGAUUGUUGUGUGAAAUGCAAAGGGAUUAUUGAGUGGAAAAGAAAACAACCUAGGAGAUGUGUUCGUUGCGACCAGGGACCAGGAAAAUGUCAAACAGGAGUAUCAUGUUAUGUGUACGAAAUGUGGGAAAAAGCUGUGGGCUGGAAGAAGUGAUAACGAACAAGCCAAUUGAUCAAGAACAACAUAAACUGGAUAGCAAAAUGAAGAAGUUGUUGCUGUCUUUACCGGAAAGGAAAAUAAGGACCUUUUUAGGUAAAUGAGAAAUUAAAAAAAAAUUAAAAUAAGCUUGAAGCUCUUAAACCAAGUGACAACGGUGAUCAAAACGAUAUAGCGAUUUUGAUGAUUUUGAUCACCUGAUAAAUAACUGUAAUUUGAUUAUUGGAAGAAUAUUUUCAAUAAAUAUAUUUUCUUAAAA